GAACUGCGAUACUUAGUGUGAAUUGCAGAAUUCAGUGAAUCAUCGAGACUUUGAACGCAAAUUGCGCCUUUGGGUCAUCCUAAAGGCACGCCUGUUUGAGUAUCAGUAACAUUAUCCAUCACUCUCUCUUCUUUCUCUUUUAAUCGAAUCGAGUCGAGUCGAGUCGAGAGAAAGAGGAGGGGUGGAUUUUGAGAGUCUCCCUUUUCUUUAUUUUAAAUAAAGAGGGAAGGGGGGUCUCUUCAAGUACAUUUGCUUUGAAUCCCCCAUACCUGUUUCUCUCCACCACUUUAUUCCGUAGGAUAAGUAUGAAAAAUUUUGUACUACUCGGAAUUUUUGGGAAAGAGAACACAGAGGGAAGGAGGAGAAGGAAAAAGGAAAAACAUUAACGACGACAACAACAACAAUAACAAUCUUGAUCUCAAAUCAGGUGAGGCUACCCGCUGAACUUAAGC
RNAcentral lists this unclassified non-coding RNA (452 nucleotides) under plant metagenome. RNAcentral describes it as "partial contains 5.8S ribosomal RNA, internal transcribed spacer 2, and large subunit ribosomal RNA". The stretch from base 1 to 105 matches the Rfam family "5.8S ribosomal RNA", at positions 50 to 154 of the family's 154-position model. The record is from RNAcentral.